UCAAAGUUUUUUGGUUCUUGGUAUUUUUGUUCUUUGGAUUUUGCCUCAACUGAUUAAACCUUCAAGAUUCACCCUGCCUCCUGAUCUCUGCAUUUAGGUCCUCAAGCAACCUCACCACCCAUUGUUGACGCCAUCUGGUUCUUGGUCACCUGCUGGUUCCAACCUUCCUCCAUACCAGUGACAGAGCCACUGACAUCAUAGGGACCUUCACAGCAGCAGAUGUUUCUGGAUCCUUCUGCAGGUCCCUGGAAGGGUCAUUUCCAGCAGUUCUGGACGUCCUUCCACGUCUCCCUGCAGUCAUCGCUCCAUCGGAUCCUGCAGCUGCGGGUUGAAUGGGCUCGUCUUCUCCGCGGCGAUUAAGAUAAAAGCCGAGCUACAUUUAUCCACCUGCUGCGACACAAGGACGGAGCGAGAGCCUUCUGAGUGAAGCUUUUAAUCUGCAUCUGAAUGUAUCUGCAGAGCAACGUUUGUUGAUCAGCAGAGGAAAACAUUAACAGUAGCAAAACACAAGGUCGCCUGGAUCGGCCUUGUGAUGCACAGAGGAACCUGCUGCCUGCUGCUUCACCGCAGAGAACCGCAGCUACAA
Cyprinodon tularosa is the source of this 586-nucleotide long non-coding RNA. RefSeq lists it as uncharacterized. The transcript has 3 exons. NCBI's taxonomy places the organism in Eukaryota, Metazoa, Chordata, Actinopteri, Cyprinodontiformes, Cyprinodontidae. The record is from RefSeq and is a predicted model, not a curated record.